RNAcentral lists this unclassified non-coding RNA (352 nucleotides) under soil metagenome. RNAcentral describes it as "partial contains 5.8S ribosomal RNA, internal transcribed spacer 2, and large subunit ribosomal RNA". The stretch from base 1 to 120 matches the Rfam family "5.8S ribosomal RNA", at positions 35 to 154 of the family's 154-position model. The record is from RNAcentral.
GAUGAAGAACGUAGCGAAAUGCGAUAAGUAAUGUGAAUUGCAGAAUUCAGUGAAUCAUCGAAUCUUUGAACGCACAUUGCGCCCGGGAGCAUUCUCCCGGGCAUGCCUGUUCGAGCGUCAUUACAACCCUCAGGCCCCCGGGCCUGGCGUUGGGGAUCGGCGGAGCCCCCCGUGGGCACACGCCGUCCCCCAAAUACAGUGGCGGUCCCGCCGCAGCUUCCAUCGCGUAGUAGCUAACACCUCGCGACUGGAGAGCGGCGCGGCCACGCCGUAAAACACCCAACUCUUCUGAAGUUGACCUCGAAUCAGGUAGGAAUACCCGCUGAACUUAAGCAUAUCAAUAAGCGGAGGA